RNAcentral lists this ribosomal RNA (513 nucleotides) under uncultured bacterium. RNAcentral describes it as "partial 16S ribosomal RNA". It matches the Rfam family "Bacterial small subunit ribosomal RNA", at positions 28 to 523 of the family's 1533-position model. The record is from RNAcentral.
GAUGAACGCUGGCGGCGUGCCUAAUACAUGCAAGUCGAGCGAACAGACGAGGAGCUUGCUCCUCUGACGUUAGCGGCGGACGGGUGAGUAACACGUGGAUAACCUACCUAUAAGACUGGGAUAACUUCGGGAAGCCGGAGCUAAUACCGGAUAAUAUAUUGAACCGCAUGGUUCAAUAGUGAAAGCCGGUUUUGCUGUCACUUAUAGAUGGAUCCGCGCCGCAUUAGCUAGUUGGUAAGGUAACGGCUUACCAAGGCAACGAUGCGUAGCCGACCUGAGAGGGUGAUCGGCCACACUGGAACUGAGACACGGUCCAGACUCCUACGGGAGGCAGCAGUAGGGAAUCUUCCGCAAUGGGCGAAAGCCUGACGGAGCAACGCCGCGUGAGUGAUGAAGGUCUUCGGAUCGUAAAACUCUGUUAUUAGGGAAGAACAAAUGUGUAAGUAACUAUGCACGUCUUGACGGUACCUAAUCAGAAAGCCACGGCUAACUACGUGCCAGCCGCCGCCGUAA